GUCAGAAUGGCCGAGCGGUCCAAGGCGCCAGACUCAAGGUUGUACACCUUCUCCAAAACUGAGGGAUUUCUGGUCUCCGAAUGGAGGCGUGGGUUCAAAUCCCACUUCUGACA
Molecule: transfer RNA, 113 nt
Filed under: Astyanax mexicanus (Mexican tetra)
Lineage: Eukaryota; Metazoa; Chordata; Actinopteri; Characiformes; Acestrorhamphidae
Rfam family: tRNA
About the family: Transfer RNA (tRNA) molecules are approximately 80 nucleotides in length. Their secondary structure includes four short double-helical elements and three loops (D, anti-codon, and T loops).
Source: Rfam by way of RNAcentral